This 253-nucleotide ribosomal RNA is filed under the name uncultured bacterium. RNAcentral describes it as "partial 16S ribosomal RNA". It matches the Rfam family "Bacterial small subunit ribosomal RNA", at positions 524 to 776 of the family's 1533-position model. The record is from RNAcentral.
GACGAACCGUACAAACGUUAUUCGGAAUUACUGGGCUUAAAGGGUGCGUAGGCGGCGUGGCAAGUUGGGUGUGAAAUCCCUCGGCUUAACCGAGGAACUGCGCCCAAUACUGCCGUGCUUGAGGGAGACAGAGGUGAGCGGAACUUAGGGUGGAGCGGUGAAAUGCGUUGAUAUCCUAAGGAACACCUGUGGCGAAAGCGGCUCACUGGGUCUCUUCUGACGCUGAUGCACGAAAGCUAGGGUAGCGAACGGG